UAAUACUUAGGAAUCUACCUAGUAGUGGGGGAUAGCACGGGGAAACUCGUAUUAAUACCGCAUACGACCUACGGGAGAAAGGGGGCANNUUGNUGCUCUCGCUAUUAGAUGAGCCUAAGUCGGAUUAGCUAGAUGGUGGGGUAAAGGCCUACCAUGGCGACGAUCUGUAGCUGGUCUGAGAGGAUGAUCAGCCACACCGGGACUGAGACACGGCCCGGACUCCUACGGGAGGCAGCAGUGGGGAAUAUUGGACAAUGGGGGAAACCCUGAUCCAGCCAUGCCGCGUGUGUGAAGAAGGCCUUUUGGUUGUAAAGCACUUUAAGCAGUGAAGAAGACUCUUCGGUUAAUACCCGGAGACGAUGACAUUAGCUGCAGAAUAAGCACCGGCUAACUCUGUGCCAGCAGCCGCGGUAAUACAGAGGGUGCAAGCGUUAAUCGGAAUUACUGGGCGUAAAGGGAGCGUAGGUGGCUCGAUAAGUCAGAUGUGAAAUCCCCGGGCUCAACCUGGGAACUGCAUCUGAUACUGUUGAGCUAGAGUAUGUGAGAGGAAGGUAGAAUUCCAGGUGUAGCGGUGAAAUGCGUA
Molecule: ribosomal RNA, 583 nt
Filed under: unidentified microorganism
Description: bacterial SSU rRNA
Rfam family: Bacterial small subunit ribosomal RNA
Source: RNAcentral